This 497-nucleotide ribosomal RNA is filed under the name uncultured bacterium. RNAcentral's name for it is "partial 16S ribosomal RNA". It matches the Rfam family "Bacterial small subunit ribosomal RNA", at positions 28 to 507 of the family's 1533-position model. The record is from RNAcentral.
GAUGAACGCUGGCGGCGUGCCUAAUACAUGCAAGUCGAGCGAACGGACGAGAAGCUUGCUUCUCUGAUGUUAGCGGAGGACGGGUGAGAAACACGUGGAUAACCUCCCUAUAAGACUGGGAUAACUUCGGGAAACCGUAGCUAAUACCGGAUAAUAUUUUGAACCGCAUGGUUCAAAAGUGAAAGACGGUCUUGCUGUCACUUAUAGAUGGAUCCGCGCUGCAUUAGCUAGUUGGUAAGGUAACGGCUUACCAAGGCAACGAUGCAUAGCCGACCGGAUAGGGUGAUCGCCCACCCUGGAACUGAGCCACGGUCCAGACUCCUACGAGAGGCAGCAGUAUCGAAUCGUCCGCAGUGGUCGAAAGCCUUGCGGAGCAACGCCGCGUGAGUGGUGACGAUCCUCGGAUCGUAAAACCCUGUUAUUAGGUAAGAACAUAUUUGUAAUGAACUGUGCACAUCUUGACGGUACCUAAUCAGAAAGCCACGGCUAACUACGUG